CCCUGGAAGAUGGGGAAUCAAGCAGGAAUCGCACCAGCAGAAUCAGAGUGGAGACCUAUAGCACUGAGUGCAGCUCUGGUAUGCAAUGGGUGCUUGGACUAAAGUCAAGGAAGCCUGCUGUGAUGGCUCUCUUCUGCGCUUCCUAGAAAGACUGACUGUGACUUCAGAACUCAGCCCACAGUGGAUGGAAAUGCCAUGUUCCUAUGUGAUCUCCCUCAUGGUACCAUAGGCUGACUUGCUCCCUGUCAAGUCCCAGCUGACACACACAACACCUGGCACACUUCAGUUAUCGCACACUUCCAUCCCUGUGAUUAAAGGUAUGCUGAACCAAA
Long non-coding RNA from Ochotona curzoniae (black-lipped pika), 332 nucleotides. RefSeq lists it as uncharacterized. The transcript has 3 exons. Lineage: Eukaryota; Metazoa; Chordata; Mammalia; Lagomorpha; Ochotonidae. The record is from RefSeq and is a predicted model, not a curated record.